Molecule: unclassified non-coding RNA, 269 nt
Filed under: Hevea brasiliensis (rubber tree)
Lineage: Eukaryota; Viridiplantae; Streptophyta; Magnoliopsida; Malpighiales; Euphorbiaceae
Source: RNAcentral
GAUUUUUAGAAUUCUUACUGAAUGCAAGCAUAGGGUAAAAACUAACUUAUACUGGCUCUAGGAAUUGAUAUGCAGGCCCUAGGUGGUUAUUUUUAGCUAUCUGACCAUUUGGGUUUCCAGUUAUGCAUUUUGAGUCUCCACUUUCUAUUUAGAUUUGUGGUUUUAUGUUUCUGGGGUUAAAUAAAAUGUAAUUUUGCAUGCACAGUGAUUAUCACUCGUCUCUAUGAUAUAUACUUUACAUUUUAAUUUUCACAAAUGUCCAAAUUUUU